CUAAGAAUAUUCCGCAAUGGACGAAAGUCUGACGGAGCGACGCCGCGUGGAUGAYGAAGGCCGAAAGGUUGUAAAGUCCUUUUGUUGGGGAAGAAUAACCAUGGGAGGGAAUGCCCGUGGGAUGACAUGAACCGACGAAUAAGCCCCGGCUAACUACGUG
Molecule: ribosomal RNA, 160 nt
Filed under: uncultured bacterium
Lineage: Bacteria
Description: partial 16S rRNA
Rfam family: Bacterial small subunit ribosomal RNA
Source: RNAcentral